RNAcentral lists this ribosomal RNA (328 nucleotides) under uncultured Glomeromycotina. Its description in RNAcentral is "SSU rRNA". It matches the Rfam family "Eukaryotic small subunit ribosomal RNA", at positions 769 to 1098 of the family's 1831-position model. Lineage: Eukaryota; Fungi; Glomeromycota. The record is from RNAcentral.
GAGUGUUUAAAGCAGGCUAAAGCUUGAAUAGAUUAGCAUGGAAUAACGAAAUAGGACGUUUGAUCUUAUUUUGUUGGUUUCUAAGAUCGACGUAAUGAUUAAUAGGGAUAUUGGGGGCAUUAGUAUUCAAUUGUCAGAGGUGAAAUUCUUGGAUUGAUUGAAGACUAACUACUGCGAAAGCAUUUGCCAAGGAUGUUUUCAUUAAUCAGUGAACGAAAGUUGGGGGAUCGAAGACGAUCAGAUACCGUCGUAGUCUUAACCAUAAACUAUGCCGACUAGGGAUCGGACGGUGUUAGUAUUUUGACCCGUUCGGCGCCUUACGGGAAAC